RNAcentral lists this ribosomal RNA (460 nucleotides) under uncultured bacterium. RNAcentral describes it as "partial 16S ribosomal RNA". It matches the Rfam family "Bacterial small subunit ribosomal RNA", at positions 338 to 795 of the family's 1533-position model. The record is from RNAcentral.
CCUACGGGAGGCAGCAGUGAGGAAUAUUGGUCAAUGGCCGGAAGGCUGAACCAGCCAAGCCGCGUGAAGGACGAAGGUGCCAAGCAUUGUAAACUUCUUUUGUCAAGGGACAAAAUCAGGCUCGAGAGCCUGACCGAGGUUACUUGAAGAAAAAGCAUCGGCUAACUCCGUGCCAGCAGCCGCGGUAAUACGGAGGAUGCGAGCGUUAUCCGGAUUUAUUGGGUUUAAAGGGUGCGUAGGCGGACUGUUAAGUCAGCGGUAAAAGCCCGGGGCUCAACCCCGGGACUGCAUUGGAAACUGGCAUGCUGGAGUGCCGGAGGGGCAAGCGGAAUUCCUAGUGUAGCGGUGAAAUGCAUAGAUAUCACACAGAACACCGAUUGCGAAGGCAUCUCACGAAUCCGCGAUUGACGCUGAUGCACGAAAGCGUGGGUAUCAAACAGGAUUAGAUACCCUUGUAGUC